UUAUACCGUGAAACUGCGAAUGGCUCAUUAAAUCAGUUAUUGUUUAUUUGAUAAUACCUUACUACUUGGAUAACCGUGGUAAUUCUAGAGCUAAUACAUGCUGAAAAUCCCGACUUCGGAAGGGUUGUGUUUAUUAGAUAAAAAACCAAUGCCCUUCGGGGCUCCUUGGUGAUUCAUGAUAACUUUACGGAUCGCAUAGCCUUGCGCUGGCGACGGUUCAUUCAAAAUUCUGCCCUUUCAACUUUCGAUGGUAAGGUAUUGGCUUACCAUGGUUUCAACGGGUAAUGGGGAAUUAGGGUUCGAUUCCGGAGAGGCAGCCUGAGAAACGGCUACCACAUCCAAUGAAGGCAGCAGGCGCGCAAAUUACCCAAUCCCGACACGGGGAGGUAGUGACAAUAAAUACUGAUACAGGGCUGUUUUGGGUCUUGUAAUUGGAAUGAGAACAAUUCAAAUCUCUUAACGAGGAACAAUUGGAGGGCAAGUCUGGUGCCAGCAGCCGCGGUAAUUCCAGCUCCAAUAGCGUAUAUUAAAGUUGAUGCAGUUAAAAAGCUCGUAGGUGAAACUUGGGCCUGGCUGGCGGGUCCGCCUCACCGCGUGCACUCGUCCGGCCGGGCCUUCCUUCUGAAGAACCUCAUGCCCUUCACGGGCCGUGCUGGGGAAUCAGGACUUUUACUUUGAAACAAUUAGCGUGUUCAAAGCAGGCCUUUGCUCGAAUACGUUAGCAUGGAAUAAUAAAAUAGGGCGUGCGUUUCUAUUUUGUUGGUUUCUAGAGACGCCGCAAUGAUUAACAGGAACAGUCGGGGGCAUCAGUAUUCAGUUGUCCAGGGUGAAAUUCUUGGAUUUACUGAAGAC
Molecule: ribosomal RNA, 852 nt
Filed under: Alternaria poaceicola
Lineage: Eukaryota; Fungi; Ascomycota; Dothideomycetes; Pleosporales; Pleosporaceae
Description: SSU rRNA
Rfam family: Eukaryotic small subunit ribosomal RNA
Source: RNAcentral